GUGGGCAGAUCUGAGCUUUCUUCUUGGACACCCCAUACCCACAGUCCUCCAGGCCACCCUUAAGUACAAUGUUCUCCUACCUAAGAAGGCAUCUGGAUUUUCUCUUUCCUUGGAAAUAGUAAAGAACUACUCUUUGACUGUUUUUGACCUCACAGUGAACCUCAAAGUCUUACUUUGUCACCCAGGCUGCAGUACAGUGGCACAGUGGCACAAUCUCAGCUCACUGCAACUUCCAGCUCCUGGGUUCAAAGGAUUCUUACGGCUCAGCCUCCUGAGUAGCUGGGAUUAGAGGCGUGCACCACCACAUCUGGCUAAUUUUUCUAUUUUUAGUAGAGUCAGAGUUUUGCCAUAUUGGCCAGGCUGGUCUUGAACUCUGACCCUCAAGUGAUCCACCCACCUUGGCCUCCAGAAGUGCUGGGAUUACAGGUGUGAGCAACCACGCCCUGAUGAACUAUGGAACUCUUAACUUCAUACCCCAAUAGUCUUAUCCAGAAGCAGGAAACUGAGCUAGAAGUUCUCCUGGGGACACAUCUACUCUAUAAUUAUGCUCAUAUACCACCUUUUAAGCAAAGAUGUCCUCUAAGUGUUACGCAACUCUAACACUAACCUAAGUAUAUGUAAAAGAUUUAGAAGCUCUGUUUAUCAGUUCAAACUUUGAGACUGCAGAUACACUGGAAUUCGCAAUAAAUCCAGUAUGGUGGUUAUAGAUGUAAAAAUGCUAUCAGGAUUUACUCCAACCAUGUCAUCCAUUGAAGAGCUUGAAAACAAGGGCCAAGUGAUGAAGACUGAAGUCAAGAAUGACCAUGUUCUUUUCUACUUGGAAAAUGUUUUUGGUCGAGCAGACAGUUUCACUUUUUCUGCUGAGCAGAGCAACCUUGUGUUCAACAUUCAGCCAGCCCCAGGCAUGGUCUACGAUUAGUACGAAAAAGAAGAAUAUGCCCUAGCUUUUUACCACAUCAACAGUAGUUCAGUUUCCGAGUGAGACAAAGCAAUUACUGGAAGAAGUAAAGAAAUUUUAUUACGUCAUAAACCAUUGAAAACACAUCUAGUAAGAAAAUGAAAACCUGAAUAAGAUAGGACAAUAGUUGAAGAAAGAAAAGUCUCUGGUGGAGAAGCAUUUCUUUUAACAAACUGAUUCUUCUGUAUCAAACCUGGAAAAAAAUCAUGAACCAUCUGACAUCGUGAACAGUCUGCAGUGGGCUAUGGUUUCUUGACAAGUCUUAUUUCCUUAUCAUCCCAUUAAAUGUUGUCAUUUUGCAUCUGA
Molecule: long non-coding RNA, 1264 nt
Organism: Homo sapiens (human)
Lineage: Eukaryota; Metazoa; Chordata; Mammalia; Primates; Hominidae
Source: Ensembl